GAUGAACGCUGGCGGCGUGCUUAACACAUGCCAGUCGAACGGAAAGGCCCAAGCUUGCUUGGGUACUCGAGUGGCGAACGGGUGAGUAACACGUGGGUGAUCUGCCCUGCACUUCGGGAUAAGCCUGGGAAACUGGGUCUAAUACCGGAUAGGACCACUUCUUGGAUGUUGUGGUGGAAAGUUUUUUCGGUGUGGGAUGAGCUCGCGGCCUAUCAGCUUGUUGGUGGGGUAAUGGCCUACCAAGGCGUCGACGGGUAGCCGGCCUGAGAGGGUGUACGGCCACAUUGGGACUGAGAUACGGCCCAGACUCCUACGGGAGGCAGCAGUGGGGAAUAUUGCACAAUGGGCGCAAGCCUGAUGCAGCGACGCCGCGUGGGGGAUGACGGCCUUCGGGUUGGAAACUCCUUUCGCUAGGGACGAAGCGUUUUGUGACGGUACCUGGAGAAGAAGCACCGGCUAACUACGUG
Molecule: ribosomal RNA, 467 nt
Filed under: uncultured bacterium
Lineage: Bacteria
Description: partial 16S ribosomal RNA
Rfam family: Bacterial small subunit ribosomal RNA
Source: RNAcentral